GAUCAGUAAAGACAUGCGAUCGUACGUUUCUCUGUGAAAUAGAGAGAGAAAGAAGGAGCACAAGUCUCUCUCUCUCUCUCUCUCUCUCUUUCUCUCUUUCUUUCUUUCGAAGUGGCGCGUGUCGUCGUCUAAACAAUCAUCGAACUUUCUAAUCGUACGUUUCUUUUUGUUCGUAUUCGAACGAGAGAAACGAGUGAAUAAAUAAAGAGAGAGAGAGAGAGGGAGAGAGAGAGAGGGAGAGAGAGAGAGAGAAAGGGUAGGAGGGAAAGAGGGAGGGGGAGUGGUUCCUCUUGUUCUGAAUCUGGAAACGUAUAGUGUUUUCUAUCUAUUACGAAAGUAAUAUGCCUGGCUAAAUAUUAUGAAUCAUGAGAGAGAAAGAAAAUGGAAAAUAGAUUGAAAAUAAGGGAUGAACGAACGUAAAAAAAAGAAAAGGGGGA
Vespa mandarinia (Asian giant hornet) is the source of this 437-nucleotide long non-coding RNA. The record is from RefSeq and is a predicted model, not a curated record. NCBI's taxonomy places the organism in Eukaryota, Metazoa, Arthropoda, Insecta, Hymenoptera, Vespidae.